GAUUGCAGGCUGCAACUCGCCUGCAUGAAGUUGGAAUUGCUAGUAAUCGCGGAUCAGCAUGCCGCGGUGAAUACGUUCCCGGGCCUUGUACACACCGCCCGUCACACCAUGGGAGCCGGUAAUACCCGAAGUCAGUAGCCUAACCGCAAGGGGGGCGCUGCCGAAGGUAGGAUUGGCGACUGGGGUGAAGUCGUAACAAGGUAGC
RNAcentral lists this ribosomal RNA (205 nucleotides) under uncultured bacterium. RNAcentral's name for it is "partial 16S ribosomal RNA". It matches the Rfam family "Bacterial small subunit ribosomal RNA", at positions 1296 to 1500 of the family's 1533-position model. The record is from RNAcentral.